AGCGGGGUAGGGUAGCCAGGAUAUCCCGUCGGGCUCAUAACCCGAAGAUCGGUGGUUCAAAUCCAUCCCCCGCUA
Molecule: transfer RNA, 75 nt
Filed under: archaeon
Lineage: Archaea
Also listed under: 1 other name
Description: tRNA-Met
Rfam family: tRNA
About the family: Transfer RNA (tRNA) molecules are approximately 80 nucleotides in length. Their secondary structure includes four short double-helical elements and three loops (D, anti-codon, and T loops).
Source: RNAcentral